Molecule: long non-coding RNA, 775 nt
Organism: Myxocyprinus asiaticus (Chinese sucker)
Lineage: Eukaryota; Metazoa; Chordata; Actinopteri; Cypriniformes; Catostomidae
Exons: 3
Source: RefSeq, a predicted model, not a curated record
UAUAGGGAGCCCCAAACCUAACGCUUUCCCUAACCUUAACCGCGAGUGGAAGUGACGCCCCCUUUUGGAGUUGGUGCAACACCCUUUUGGAGUAACCCCACCCCAUUUUGGAGUAACUCCACCCUCUUUCAGAGAUUCCACCCCCAUUUGGAGGUCUCCAGACAGCAGCUACUCCUACUUGCUUCGCAGGGUGGGCUGGAACGCCGACAGGGGGUGCUGCAGCACUCUCAGAACCCCCACCCGUGGCUAUGCUCUUCUUGUUGACCGUUCCAAGAUGGCGCCGCGGUUAACAUAUCCAAACAAGCCGAAUGAGGCAUCCACGAUUGGGCCGUGUUGGAAUCAGCUACUCCAUGUGAUUGGUGCGUGUCGGAGAGUCUGGCCUAUUUAAAUGGAAUGUGCUGCUCAGGAGGAGACUGUUUCCGAGGCCAGGGUGUAGCCCGGAUGGUCAUAUCUAUUUGUACAGCUUUUCCUCUGUGUAGUGGUGCUGUUGCUGGUGUUUAAAAUCAAUUUUGAAUUUAUUGUUGUUAGGGUGUGAGCUAAUGUGUUCCAGAGUUAAAGUGUGUGUUAACUUUGAUCAACAAUUGUGAUGGCUAGUGAGCCAUAGCUCUUUACCAGACUCAUUGUGAGAGUCUAGUUAAUCUUAAAUAGGAAGCUGUAGGAGGUAAGGGCCCUUUUCUUUAUUCCUGUAAUGUAAUUUUCUCUUGUUUAUUUAGUUAAGGAGAUAACUUUUAUUUUAUUUUUUUAUUUUUUUUUUAAUUAGGAAAUUUAUGUCUUA